Molecule: ribosomal RNA, 253 nt
Filed under: uncultured bacterium
Lineage: Bacteria
Description: partial 16S ribosomal RNA
Rfam family: Bacterial small subunit ribosomal RNA
Source: RNAcentral
UACGAAGGUUGCGAGCGUUGUUCGGAAUCACUGGGCUUAAAGCGCAUGUAGGCGGAUGAGUAAGCGUUUUGUGAAAUCCCUCGGCUUAACCGGGGAAUUGCUUGGCGAACUGCUCAUCUUGAGGCAAGUAGGGGUGCAUGGAACUCUUGGUGGAGCGGUGGAAUGCGUAGAUAUCAAGAGGAACGCCAAUGGUGAAGACAGUGCACUGGGCUUGUUCUGACGCUGAGAUGCGAAAGCGUGGGGAGCGAACGGG